CGCCCGCUCAGAAACUCAAAGGAAUUGACGGGGGCCCGCACAAGCGGUGGAGCAUGUGGUUUAAUUCGAUGAUACGCGAGGAACCUUACCUGGGCUCAAAUGUAUGUUGACGUAUUCUGAAAGGGAUACUUCUUCGGACAAUAUACAAGGUGCUGCAUGGUUGUCGUCAGCUCGUGCCGUGAGGUGUCGGGUUAAGUCCCAUAACGAGCGCAACCCCUAUCAUUAGUUGCCAGCGGGUAAUGCCGGGCACUCUGGAAGGACUGCCAUCGACAAGAUGGAGGAAGGUGGGGAUGACGUCAAGUCAUCAUGGCCCUUAUGUCCAGGGCGACACACGUGCUACAAUGGCCGGCACAACGGGAAGCGAGUUCGCGAGGACGAGCGGAUCCCUCAAAGCCGGUCGCAGUUCGGAUUGAAGUCUGCAACUCGACUUCAUGAAGCUGGAAUCGCUAGUAAUCGUGGAUCAGCCAAGCCGCGGUGAAUACGUUCCCGGGCCUU
This 495-nucleotide ribosomal RNA is filed under the name uncultured Synergistaceae bacterium. RNAcentral describes it as "bacterial SSU rRNA". It matches the Rfam family "Bacterial small subunit ribosomal RNA", at positions 887 to 1382 of the family's 1533-position model. The record is from RNAcentral. Lineage: Bacteria; Thermotogati; Synergistota; Synergistia; Synergistales; Synergistaceae.